Long non-coding RNA from Galeopterus variegatus (Sunda flying lemur), 345 nucleotides. RefSeq lists it as uncharacterized. The record is from RefSeq and is a predicted model, not a curated record. NCBI's taxonomy places the organism in Eukaryota, Metazoa, Chordata, Mammalia, Dermoptera, Cynocephalidae. The transcript has 2 exons.
UAAAAGAGUAGGGUGUCAAUCAUUUUCUUUUAGGAAUGAACAUUGCUGCUGUUGAGACAGAAAUGGCAGACUAAUUGCUGUUUCUUGUUACCUCCCCCUUGAGCAUCUGAUCCUGAGAUGGACUGCUCCCAUCUCUCUACUGUCAUGACACGAAGAGGAGAACCAAGGAUCCCCAGACAUCACCAGCACCAUCUGCCAAGCAUGUGGGUGGGGCCAACAUAACCUGCCCAGCCCAGCUGACCCAGCUGACUGCAGCUGCGUAAGUGAGCCAAGAAAACUAGCAGAGAAACCACCAGUCAAACCACAGACUCACAAGAAGUAAUAAAUUGUUGUUUCAAACCAUUA